CUUUCUCCUCAUGCUCCUCAUCAGGGUCCUGAAAUGUUGUCCCACAACCGGGAUGAGACUAUGUCUCAGCAAAUUCUACCCCACUAAGACUCGAUUAGGAAACCAAUACACUAACCGGGCUGCCUAUACACGCACGGGUCAGAGCACUUACCUUGGCCUCAUAUUCCACCUGCAUAUUAGCACAAUUCAAUAGACACCCAAGCAAUUCCACCUGGAUUGGGAUUUGGUGGAGUGGCUUCGUGGAGAUGGGCGGCUUCGUGUGGGGCUAGGAGGUCAACAAACUGAAAUCAGCUUCGGUGGAGACGCUGAAGACGCGAGCUGGCAGAGGGCGCUCGUGAGUGGGCUUGGAACAGUUUUGUUUAUCAGUCUGCUAUAGAGAAAACACAUGCUGGUGGGGGUGCGGGGAUUAAUGGAGCGAUGGCAGGAGAUGUCAUGGACGAUGGCCUCGGUGGAAGGAGCAGGGGCGAUUGCUGGGUUUCUUCGAAGAUCAAAACAGAAGUGGAAUGGAGGAUGGAGGUGGACGGUGGAGUGAGAGUAAGGGAGAGAAGAGAUAGAGAUGAGGAGGGAUAGAGGGCCCCUUGGGUUUUAUUUUUCCACAAAAUAUCUCCAAGACUUAGUCUUGGCCAUGUAUAAUCCCUUGGCCUCCAUUGAGCCACACCAACACUUCUCACAACCCCUCAAAUGGUGCAUUUUGGCUAGGCAUGAGGGGGGUUACGAAAUUGGCAUCAUCUCCUCUCAAUUGGACACUUGAAUAAUCUCAAAUCAUACUCAUUUGGCUUCUAUAAUUUCAAUUGGUCAUCCUUCGAUUACCCCGGCAUUUUUCCUCACCCACAUAUCCAUCAUGCUUUCAAAUUGUCAUCAAAAACAACCUGCGGCUUUUUCUGCACAAAACAACCCGGCUGCGACUUCUUCCUAGAAAGUGUCAGGUGUCAAAAAAAUCUUUUGACACUGAGUCGACACUCCUAUAAUUUAUUGUGACAUGAUAGAAUCUUCAAUUUCUGAAAUCGGACUCGAAUUCGGAGUUAAUUUCCAUUCAACGCGUUUUUAGCGUAACCUAGACUAUCAGGUAACUUUUAGAAAUUUUUAAUACAUAUGACCCGUGGUCGAUUUUCUUUGAGCCACUAUGAACCCACUCGACUCAUUGGCGACUCUCGAUUGUCGUGAAAAUCCUGAUGAUCCAAAUAUGGACACAAGGUACCAAAACAAUAAGAAAAUCAGUUUAGUGUUGGUCAACGAGAAUUUUCUAAUUUAGUGGUGUUACCCACGAUUAGCCACACAUCUCAGUCGAACCAACCUAUCUCUAAUCUCGAAUUGAUUUAUAUCUGUGCCGUAAUGACCUCACUAUCGAGAAAUCGAUUCCUAGUCAAAUUAUCAAGUCUAUUGCAUUAAAAUUCCUUAAUGGCUUCCCCAGAUAGUCCAGUUACCUCGAGAGUGAUCAGCUCUGAGAACAACUCUAUUGACGCGUCAAUGAAAUGCCCGAUUUAUUCAAUAGAAAACAUGACUGAAAAUCUGAGAUGUCACGACUCUUCCCCUCUUAUAAAAAUUUCGUCCUCGAAAUUUAAACUGUUACCAAUCCUUCAACAAAAAAGUGGGGGUAUCAUCACCUCAUCUAGUCUCACUUUUCCCGAUUGCUUCUUCAAUCCCGUGGCGUUGUCAGACCACUUUAACCAAGGGGACUAUCUUGGUACACAGAAUCUGAUCUUUCUGAUCCAUAAGCUGAACCGAAAUUUUCAUGUACGACACUCUGUCGUCCAUGCCUAAUUCUUCAAGAUUUAACAUGUGGGUCAUGUCAGGCUCAUAUUUCCUCAACAUCGACACGUGAAAGACGUCAUGCACUUGCGCUAACCUCGGCGGCAAUGCAGGACGAUACAAUAGGAUCCCGAUUCUUUUCAGAAUCUCAAAAGGGACCUACGUACUUUGAUUUCAGUUUUCCCUCCUAGCUGAAAUGCAAGGUAUCCAUCAUUGGUGACACCUUCAGAAAGGUGUACUGACCAAUUUAGAACUUUUUGGGCCUUCAAUGCUCAACAAUGCAACUUUUCUGGCGGCACUGAGCGGUCUAUAAUCUGAUUCUAAUCACGACAACUGCAAUCACUGACUGCUGAAUUGACCCUCGGCCUGUGAUCUUUCUUUCUCUGAUCUCAUCUCAACAAACUGAAGUUCUGCAUACUUUGCUCUGUUCUGCCUCAAAAGGAAUUAUCUGAUUGAUCUGCUGAAACUGGGAACCUGGGUUCUGGAUCCAAUAUAAGUUUGUCACUAGUACUCCACGCAAACGAACUGUUUGACACACAUACACUUCGACAUGCCUAUUCCAAUCAAUAUCCUUCCAUACGGCGAUAAAGUGGGCCAACUUCAUCGAUCUGUCAACCACUACCCCAACUGGAGUCAUUAUUCCUAUGACCUCUUGGUAAACCUAUCACAACAUUCCAUCAUGAUGUACUUCAAUUCCCACUCAGGACUCUUGAGUGAUUGUAAAUGUUCUCUCGACUUGCAUUACCGAACUUUCACUUACUAGCACAUUUGACACUUGCAACUUGUACGACGAUAACUAUCUUCAUAUCGGUCUACCUACCUCAUACUGUAUGGUCGAAUACUGCAACUAUUAUAAUGAAUUCCUGACAAGGUCUUCUCCUCAAGUUUCGUACCAUUUGACACUUAUCAUCACUUACGAUACCUCAACGUUCCAUUUUCCGAAAUCUUAACGUCAACUUUUCCCUUACCGGUAUCUUCUUGCAGGAUUUUCUAAACAUUCUGGUUUGUCAACUGAAGCGUCUUUCCAGGGUGAUAGAGGACAUCUCAAUCACCGUUCUUCUAAAGUUCUAACUCAUAACGCUAUCUUCGUUAUAACUUCCUUCAACGGAUUAAACUAUAUCACAUUGCAGUAACAAUUUAUUACACAAAAGCUCCUCGAGCCAAACCUUUUUAUACAUGGUAUCAAAGUUAUACAUAGGCAAAGGAUUCAAGUACAACUGUAACCAGUGAUUAUGCUUUAUAUGACUUCAUUACAAAAAUUGAAGUUUUAUAAACUUAACCAAAAUUCUGCUGCGCCACUCUGAUAUAAUUGUUAUGGGAACAUUGCCCUUUUGCUCAGUGCACAACUCGAUUCAUCUCUGAACCGGCGGUCCAUUCAACGGAACCGUAUCUGUGAUUACAUCAGGCUUAGCUUCGGCCUGACCCUGUAUAAUUGCAUACACGGUGCCUUGGACUGGAGGCCUCAACUAUUCUCCCUGCGGCGCAUUCUGAGGGGCAUACCCUCUGAUCUAGCCCAUUUGCGGCAGUGGUGGCAACUGUUGCGGUCUCCCCUGUCUUCUGGGCCAGUCCCUGGCUAUGUGACCCAGCUGGCCACACCCAAAACAAGUACCCGGUCUAGAAUGGCAUGGGGCGAAUCUGUGUUGCCUUCCACACAGGCAACACACACCAUUCUCGCUAGACCCUGUCUUUCCGAUUCCACCCUCCCUGUUGGGCGGAACGCGGAAUCUGUUUCCAGGCAUAGGCCUCUUUCCUUGGCGGAUGUUGUCUCUAUGAGAACUGAACCUUGAUCUAGACAAGGCGGCUCUAUCAUUUUGAUCCUUCUCAAUUUUCUGAGCUCUCCGAUACAGAUCAUUGUAAGUCUUCAAAUCCAGAAGGACUAAGGCACUCCUCAUGUUCGGUUUGAAUCCAUCUCUGAACCUUCUCGCUCGGUUCACAGGGUUCUCGAUUAACUCGGGAGCAUAUCGUGAAAGUUCAGCGAACUUCGCCUCAUAUUCAUCAACAGUUAGGGAACCCUGGCGAAGACGUUGGAAUUAUGCCAUCUUCACCUCUCUAGCAGUCUCGGAUAAAUAUUUGUCAUUGAAGGCUUCACGGAAAGUGUUCCACUCUUGAACAGCGCCUUCUGGAAAGAUCGUUUCACGGGUAGUCAUCCACCAAGUGUCCGCAACUCCCUCCAGCUGGUAAGUUGCUAACAUUACCUUCUCAGCCUCGUUGCAUAUCAACAGUGCAAACGCCUUCUCGAGCUUCUGAAUCCAUGAAGAAGUAGCUUCGAGAUCUCUAGACUCGGUGAACAACGGUGGAUUUAGUCUUAGGAAAUGCUCCACUAGCUUAUAGAUUGGUCUUGCAGCAACCACUAUCCUCAGUGGACCUUCAACAUUCACGGCGGCUUGAGCAACGGUAGGUGCGACUACAGGGGUGGCUCCAGUGGCAGCGGCAGGUGCAGCAGCCUGAGCAGCGGCUUCAACAGUAGCGUCUUGCUGAUCUAACCUUGUACCCAUUGCUUCCAAUACACGCAUGAUCCCAUAAAAUCUGGGAUCACUAGGGGUUUCUACCCCAGCACCAACAGGAGGUGGUGCUUCGCCACUAGCGCUAGCCACAGCUGGCGCUUUACCACGACCCCCUCGGGCACCGACCCUGGUCGGCGUUCUGCCUCGAGUCACGAUCCUAUCGGCCCUCUUUUCAGGAGUUCUCGGCUCCUAGUCACUCAUGGCUCAGCUUUAUCUACUAGAGCCAGCUUCCAAUUCCACCACGAAUUAGAAACAAAGUGACCCAAACAAGCAGCAAUUCUAGCAUUCAGCUACCACAGACAUGCACUAGCAUGAAUUUAAAAGCCUUUCUUACUACUAUCCUAUGACCCAUUGCUCCUUAUCACUCCAAUCUUGAACUUCACUUUGAUACCACAAAAAGGGGAUGUCACGCCCCGAACCUCGGGCAUGCACACAUCCUUCUACUUGGUCGAUUUUAUAAUGACAUAUCCUAGGACUAAGUAUCGCCAACCCUUUCAUUUAUUAAGCACAUGCGGAAGCAGUUAUAAAUCCCCAAACAAUAAAACAAUGAGAUAGAAAAGUAAGGUCAUAUUUCUCAUAUUGAAAUCCUUGACCAAACCUUUAUACAUGGCAUAACUCAAAGUCUAUUCAUUAAACAUGAUUCAGAAAAGAUGAUAGGAUCUCAGUCUCAUCCAGGUCGUACUCGGAUCAUCAUUGGGGUUCUCCUCCAGGUACUCCUCUUCGGUUUCUUUCUCCUCAGGCUCCUCAUCAGGGUCCUGAAAUGUUGUCCCACAACCGGGAUGAGACUAUGUCUCAGUAAGUUCUACCUCACUAAGACUCGAUUAGGAAACCGAUACACUAACCGGGCUACCUAUGCAUGCACAGGUCAGAGGACUUACCUUGGCCUCAGAUUCCACCUGCAUAUUAGCACAGUUCAAUAGACACCCAAGCAAUUAUAUCACAAAUCGAUAUCUCGAUCAAUCAACUUAGUUGAUUACAUGUAAAUAAGACCAUUCUCUGGUCGUUUCCCUUAUUCAGUCUCAAAUCUUACUCACGACUUCACGAGCACAGCCUACCAAAUUUCUUGGCAACAAAUUACAGUCUGAAGGACACGACCUAUCUUUAAGUGGCAAAUUACAGCCCAAUGGGCGCGACCUUUAAUAGGUGGCAGAUUACGGCCUUCUCAAGUGCGACCCCUAUCGAGUGGCAAAUUACGGCCUUAUUAGUCGCGACCUUUACUAGGUGGCAAUUUACGGCCCAACGGGCAUGACUGACUCCAAAUUCGGUGGCAAAUCUCGGCCCAACUGGCAUAGCCAUACUUCAGCGACUUCCGAGGUUCAACUCACAACCUCUCACAGUCAAAUUCUAAUUGAAUACCGACACUGAUUAAUCUUGGGAUAGAUCCCCACAUACUCAUCAACUCACUCAAUUUUCACACAAUAUUAACAUACCUGAUGGAUCUUAGCCAAGAAUAUAUUCAAAUCACUCUCCCAAACUUCUCCACUUAACAACCCAUCAAAGCAUUAUUGACGCUAAACAAUCAUACUCGGCCAUCCACAACUCAAUUACUCAAUCUCAAUUAAUUUAGGAAAAAUUCCUCAAAUUGCAUAAUCAAUUCAAUUCAACACAAUGUAGAGCUCAAAUAAAUAAAUGGACUGCACCACGACAACCAGCACGAAAUUCUGGUCACCGGCCAUCCCAGUUGAAUUUGCGGAAAAAUAAAUAAUUAAAUAAUGAAUUUUUGAAAUUCAUUAUUAAUUAGCAAUAAAUCCAAUUUAGGCCUGUAAUGCCUGAUUGGAGCCCGAAACGGAUUGGGAAAAAUCCCGAGAUGCAUUCAAUAAAUAAUAGUACGUCUCUACUUGCUAAUGACUAGGUCUAACCACCUAACAUGUAUCAUUAAGUCACUAAUUUAAUUGUUCUAAACUAAUCUAACCACCUAAUUACACUUAAUUAAAUCUAAUCAACCCUUAAGCAUCAUUAGUCUACUAAGAAAGGAUUAAUGAGAUUACUCACUUGAUUAAAAGCGGGGACCGGGACACCGCGACGGCGACACGACGGCGGCCGAAAUCCGAACUUUCGACGGCGUCGAUGGACACUCGGGCCGGACCUACAAGCCACACAAGCCCACAGAAAUUUCUGGGCUUGGGCUUGGCUUCGCGGGCUUCUAAUUUUGUUGGGCUUCGCUGAGAUGGGCUG
RNAcentral lists this long non-coding RNA (6428 nucleotides) under Eucalyptus grandis. RNAcentral's name for it is "long non-coding RNA (EGRA_LNC001586)". The record is from RNAcentral. Lineage: Eukaryota; Viridiplantae; Streptophyta; Magnoliopsida; Myrtales; Myrtaceae.